RNAcentral lists this ribosomal RNA (428 nucleotides) under uncultured prokaryote. RNAcentral's name for it is "bacterial SSU rRNA". It matches the Rfam family "Bacterial small subunit ribosomal RNA", at positions 355 to 774 of the family's 1533-position model. The record is from RNAcentral.
UGGGGGAUAUUGCACAAUGGGCGAAAGCCUGAUGCAGCAACGCCGCGUGAGUGAAGAAGGUUUUCGGAUCGUAAAACUCUGUUUUCAGGGACGAAUGUGCAGCUUGUAAAUAAUGAGUUGUAAUGACGGUACCUGAGUAGAAAGCCACGGCUAACUACGUGCCAGCAGCCGCGGUAAUACGUAGGUGGCAAGCGUUGUCCGGAAUUAUUGGGCGUAAAGCGCGCGCAGGUGGGAUAUUAAGUCUGGUGUUAAAGUUCGGGGCUCAACCCCGUGAAGCAUUUGGAAACUGAUAUUCUUGAGUGCAGGAGAGGAAAGUGGAAUUCCUAGUGUAGCGGUGAAAUGCGUAGAUAUUAGGAGGAACACCAGUGGCGAAGGCGACUUUCUGGACUGUGUCUGACACUGAGGCGCGAAAGCCAGGGUAGUGAACG